GGCUUAUCUCCCCCAAGAGUCCACAUCGACGGGGAGGUUUGGCACCUCGAUGUCGGCUCAUCGCAUCCUGGGGCUGUAGUCGGUCCCAAGGGUUGGGCUGUUCGCCCAUUAAAGCGGUACGCGAGCUGGGUUCAGAACGUCGUGAGACAGUUCGGUCCCUAUCCGUCGUGGGCGUAGGAAAUUUGAGAGGAGCUGUCCUUAGUACGAGAGGACCGGGAUGGACGCACCGCUGGUGUACCAGUUGUUCUGCCAAGGGCAUAGCUGGGUAGCUAUGUGCGGAAGGGAUAAGUGCUGAAAGCAUCUAAGCAUGAAGCCCCCCUCAAGAUGAGAUUUCCCAUAGCGUAAGCUAGUAAGAUCCCUGAAAGAUGAUCAGGUUGAUAGGUUCGAGGUGGAAGCAUGGUGACAUGUGGAGCUGACGAAUACUAAUAGAUCGAGGACUUAACCAUAUAA
RNAcentral lists this ribosomal RNA (450 nucleotides) under Bacillus cereus. RNAcentral describes it as "bacterial LSU rRNA". It matches the Rfam family "Bacterial large subunit ribosomal RNA", at positions 2480 to 2925 of the family's 2925-position model. Lineage: Bacteria; Bacillati; Bacillota; Bacilli; Caryophanales; Bacillaceae. The record is from RNAcentral.